UCGGGAAUUUUGGGCAAUGGGCGAAAGCCUGACCCAGCAACGCCGCGUGAAGGAUGAAGUAUUUCGGUAUGUAAACUUCGAAAGAAUAGGAAGAAUAAAUGACGGUACUAUUUAUAAGCUCCGGCUAACUUCGUGCCAGCAGCCGCGGUAAUACGAAGGGGGCUAGCGUUGUUCGGAUUUACUGGGCGUAAAGCGCGUGUAGGCGGGUCGUUAAGUUGGGGGUGAAAUCCCGAGGCUCAACCUCGGAACUGCCUUCAAAACUGGCGACCUGGACCUAAGUAGAGGCAAGUGGAAUUGCGAGUGUAGAGGUGAAAUUCGUAGAUAUUCGCAGGAACACCAGUGGCGAAGGCGACUUGCUGGACUUAUGGUGACGCUGAGACGCGAAAGCGUGGGGAGCAAACAGGAUUAGAUACCCGUGUAGUCCCUGAGCGGGCUGGCAAGGCGCAU
Molecule: ribosomal RNA, 447 nt
Filed under: uncultured bacterium
Lineage: Bacteria
Description: bacterial SSU rRNA
Rfam family: Bacterial small subunit ribosomal RNA
Source: RNAcentral